GUCCACGCCCUAAACGAUGUCAACUAGUUGUCGGGAAGCAAUUCCUUGGUAACGCAGCUAACGCGUGAAGUUGACCGCCUGGGGAGUACGGUCGCAAGAUUAAACUCAAAGGAAUUGACGGGACCCGCACAAGCGGUGGAUGAUGUGGAUUAAUUCGAUGCAACGCGAAAACCUUACCUACCCUUGACAUGUCCAGAACCCCGAUGAAAGUUGGGGGUGCCCGAAAGGGAAUUGGAACACAGGUGCUGCAUGGCUGUCGU
RNAcentral lists this ribosomal RNA (260 nucleotides) under uncultured bacterium. RNAcentral's name for it is "partial 16S ribosomal RNA". It matches the Rfam family "Bacterial small subunit ribosomal RNA", at positions 793 to 1055 of the family's 1533-position model. The record is from RNAcentral.